RNAcentral lists this ribosomal RNA (253 nucleotides) under uncultured bacterium. Its description in RNAcentral is "partial 16S ribosomal RNA". It matches the Rfam family "Bacterial small subunit ribosomal RNA", at positions 524 to 776 of the family's 1533-position model. The record is from RNAcentral.
UACGUAGGGGGCAAGCGUUGUCCGGAUUCAUUGGGCGUAAAGAGCGUGUAGGCGGCCAGAUAGGUCGGUUGUGAAAACUGGAGGCUCAACCUCCAGACGUCGACCGAAACCCUCUGGUUAGAGUCCGGAAGAGGAGAAUGGAAUUCCUGGUGUAGCGGUGAAAUGCGCAGAUAUCAGGAAGAACACCCGUGGCGAAGGCGGUUCUCUGGGACGGUACUGACGCUGAGACGCGAAAGCGUGGGGAGCGAACAGG